Non-coding RNA from Arachis ipaensis, 226 nucleotides. The record is from RefSeq and is a predicted model, not a curated record. NCBI's taxonomy places the organism in Eukaryota, Viridiplantae, Streptophyta, Magnoliopsida, Fabales, Fabaceae.
CUUGAGAAAAACGUUUACCCUUACUUAUGUGAAGCUUGGGUAAAGUGGUGAAUAAAUAAUUGGAGCUUGAAAUUGUGAAUACUGGAACUUGGAGGAAGUGGAUUAGUUGAGAUUUUGAGGGCUGUGUUCUUUUAAGAAAAUUGUCUUGGAAUAAUACUUGGGAAUCGGCUAAGAUGCAGGUCAAGAAGCAUCUCGUUAGGCGUCUGGACCCUUGAAGCGAAGUGGU